This 473-nucleotide ribosomal RNA is filed under the name uncultured bacterium. RNAcentral describes it as "partial 16S ribosomal RNA". It matches the Rfam family "Bacterial small subunit ribosomal RNA", at positions 28 to 507 of the family's 1533-position model. The record is from RNAcentral.
GGUGAACGCUGGCGGCGUGCCUAAGACAUGCAAGUCGAGCGGGCCGCGGGGUUUUACUCCGUUGUCAGCGGCGGACGGGUGAGUAACGCGUGGGUGACCUACCCGGAAUAGGGGGACAACCCGGGGAAACUCGGGCUAAUCCCCCAUGUGGUCCCGCCCCUUGGGGUGUGUCCAAAGGGCUUUGGCCGCUUUCGGGUGGGCCCGCGUCCCAUCAGCUAGUUGGUGGGGUAAUGGACCACCAAGGCGUCCACGGGUAGCCGGCCUGAGAGGGUGGCCGGCCAGAGGGGGCCUGAGACCCGGGACCCACUCCUAAGGGGGGCAGGAGUUAGGAGUCUUCAGCAAUGCGCGCAAGCCGGACGGAGCGACGCCGCGUGGAGGAAGAAGCAGUUCGGGGUGUAAACUGCUGAACCCGGGAAGAAACCCCCGACGAGGGGACUGACGGUACCGGGGUAAUAGCGCCGGCCAACUACGUG